This 7045-nucleotide long non-coding RNA is filed under the name Brassica napus (rape). RNAcentral describes it as "long non-coding RNA (BNAP_LNC006709)". Lineage: Eukaryota; Viridiplantae; Streptophyta; Magnoliopsida; Brassicales; Brassicaceae. The record is from RNAcentral.
AGGGACUUGUAGAGCACCACAGUUACAUACUUAGCCAGAAAGCGGUGAGUGGAACCAAGGGCGACCACAGAUGGACCGCUUUUGCCUUUCUGCAUGUAAAGAUGGUUGAGAAUGACGUGCUGAGGUCUCGGCAAAGGAGAUGGGAUGUCAGGGCUGGCUGGAGGCAAGUUCAGCAGUGUCAUCUGCAGGUGCGGCGGAACCAGAGGGGGUUCUUUGGAGUAGUCCUCAGCGCCUAGAAGCAAGCUGCUGUAACUAGCCUCUGGUGAUUGCGGUGGCUCAAAACCAGAUAUGCUUUCAAUGUCUUCUGGUACAUAGUCCUGCACACAAACAAAACCAUAUCUCUCCUAUCAGAAACUAUAAAGAUGUCCCUUUGCCAUUCCCUAUACACCUGAAUAGUUUCUCUCUCUCUCUCUCUCUCUCUCUCUCUCCCUAAAGGUUUCGAAGUGAGGUUACCUGGAGGUCCAAAAGGUUGAAAGUGUUGCCAGCGUCGUCACGAGCUAGAGGGAGCUCAGGGGCAUGCCUCCACUGUCCAUCAACGAUGAACCUGUACUCAUAGACACCUGAAGGCAAGACUUUCAUUAUAGUGAAGUCUUUGCCAGAUCUCUGCAGCCGACUUCUGAUACAAACAAACAAACAGAAACAAGAAUGAGAGAUUAGAAAAAAGACAACAAGAGAAAAUCAAAACUCUAAAAAAAGGUAAGACCUUGUCUUCCAAUUGUCCCAAGACCCUUCAACAGCAAUCUCCUUGCCUCCAUGGCACCAAGUGAUCAUGGUGGGGAUGCCUUGCUCGUUACAAGCCUCUUCGUAGGAAGGGGCCUGCAUCCACGAAGGGUUUGGGAUGUGGAUUUCAUCUGGUCUUUGAAGAGGAAGCACCGGUACCUUUAAAAGGAAAGAAAGAUACAAACUUUCUUUAAAUCCAAUCUUUAUUAAUUAAUUAAUUAAUUAAUUUAUUUCAGAUCUGUGUGUUUAAGGGGAAAGUUGAAUCUGGGAACCUGAGGAGCAAACAUGAGAGGAGAUUGAGUGGCGCGAGGGGAUUGAGGAGGAGAUUGGCCCAUGAGCUCAGGAGGAGGAGGAGGAGCCGUGUCGGAAGACAUGGGUUGAUGAUGAUGGCGAGAGUGAAUCUCACCGUCGUUGUCUUCCAGUGGAGAUGCGUUGUUGUUGUUGUGGACACUGUUCGCUUCGUCUCUCGCGUUCACGUUGCCCAUAGAGAGAGAGAGAGAGGAUACGGACAAAAGGAGGGUAAUCUUAAUGCUUUGUGCGGACAGAACAGGACCGGGUUUAAAGGUUCGUGCUUUUUACGUAGAGAGAUUGAUCAAAGAGGGACGGAGUAAUUGAGAGAGAGAGUGGCUUCCCCUUCCUUCCUUCCUGAGAGAUCACAAACUAUUAAUAAAAAAUUAUUAAAGAAAUAUAAAAAAAAAUGCUUAAUCUUUGAUUUCAACUCAUAAAAUAUCGAAACACACAUUUUUCUUUUGUUGUUGUUGUUUUGUCAUUCAUCGAUCAAUUGUUCCAUACACACUCUCUUUCCAUCUUUCUCCACUUACUUUUCUUUCCUCUAAUAGGUUUUGUUUAUUGCAUUUAUUAUCCUAUAAUUUUAUUUGGUCCCUAAUUACCCCCUAUACAUCCCACAUUUCAGUAGACGGGCAUUUGGUGAAACUUACCAAAAUAUGUUUUCAGUUCAUUAACUCGCUCCUUUGUUAUGUUUCAGGGGGGAAACAAGAUGUAAACUUUGAACCAAUUUCACAAUCAAUGUUUUUUUUUUUGUGUGGUAAUUUGGCCAAGAGGCCCAUUACCUUGGCUUGAUAUAGCCAGGUAGCAACAAGGAGACCAAACUUCUGCUUUGGUUUAUGUCUAGUGUUUUCUACCCUUCAACUAGUUUCACAUAGAUGAUGGAACACAAAUAAUAAUUCAUGUCUCAGGUAUGGAGAGUGCAAGUGGGAUUUGUGAUCGAAUCAAAAGGAUGCAAAGGGUUUUUAUUCAAACAAUCAUAAAGUUGAAUAAUGGGAUAUUCUUUUUCUUAUAUAAAGCGGCCUCCAUAUAUCGCCCAUGAUAAAACCUCAGUUUAUGUAGCUGAUGACUUGAUGAGUGAUGGGGGUUAGUCUGAAAUUAUCAUAUUAUCCAAUAUUUUUUUCAAAAUGUAAUAAAAGGAAAAACAGAAAAGAAAAGGGAUUCUACAAUUAAAAAUUGAAAUCAACAUUGCCGUCACCUAUACUAAAAUAUAAGAAACCAGCCAAGGCCUAAAGGAGAUUUCAAAUUCUCUGUCACGUUAAGUUGUGAAAGACACUGCAACUCUGAAAUUUGAAUACUACUGACUAUAUACAUGAUCGCUCUGCUUUAGAGCCCCAUGUCUCUCUGCCAACUCAAAACAGCUCUGCCUAUAACAAUAAACACCGUACAAGCAAAUUACUAUUAGUCGCUGUAAUUUAGACUAACAUGGCAUAUGCUACUCCCAUUGAACUCAUAAAUAAACGCCUACGAUCACAACUGAAUCAAUGCAAUGAAGCUCAUAUUAAAUGCGAUCUAAUAAAACACCUAAGCAAAUAUGUACCUGUCAUCAACAAGCAGAAUGCUUCUUGAACCAAGGCAUCUAGAAAGAUUUUUCAUCUCUCACCAAUAUGGGUGGGUUAAAGCCAAGUUUAUGUUUCCUCACCUGCAAAAGCCAGCAUCAAACUCUCAACCACAUUACUAACAAGUCUAAGAAUAUGCUGACCAAAUUACACACACAAAGCAAAGAACCUGCCUCAGAUGCAGUUCCUCUUCCACAAACGGCUUGCAAGUCUAAAGACACCAGAAGAAGAUCACAAUCCUAAAUUGCUUUUAAGCUGAACUAAUCCAGUUUCUGAAAUGUCCAUCUUUACCUGCAAGCGUGAGAGUGAUAGACCUGCAACUGUGGAAUCGCAGAUAGGGAAAAGAGCUAACCAAAGUAUGGCUGCUGCUAGUAUAAGCAAACCAGAACAUAAUAUCACACUAAACAGUAAAAAAAAUGAAACGCUUUUUCUCUUGGGUUCUGGAAAUGAUAUAUGAAUCUCAAGAAAUGUAUUCAGAGAUACCUGAAGGAAAAAAUUGACUAAUGGGGGUUAACACUAAAUCGUAAGCUCUAUACAAAACUAAAAACAAUCAGCAUGAGUUGAAAAACAUUUAUCAUCCGAGAGCAUCUGCUUCUUUGAAAAAGUUUCUUGAUAAAUGAGCAAUGAUAUGUUGUUUAUGCGAAGGGGCUUUGCCAUCCUUUAGCAGAUACCACCAACUCAAGUACUAUUGGCCAUUACUGUCGAUCAAAAUGGCCAUCAAGGUUUUGCAACUUUAGCCAUCGCAAUGUACUUGUCAACUUGUUUGUCCACAAAGUCACGAAUCUGCAUAAAUAUUUUAAUCAAAUGCAGUGACAAUCAAUUCGAAAAAUGCAACUAUUUAGUGAUAUUUACUUAAACGAGGAAUCUAAAGACAAUAUUUUUGGCAAAUAUUUAACUCUGAAACGUUGGAAGCUUUUUACAAACCUUGUUUUUCCGCUUUGAGUCAAGGAAUUGGGGAACAGCCAUGGCUUUCUCCGCGUCUGUUGUUUGCUGCAUUACCUGAUAAAUCGCAAGAGUUUCAGAAGCCUUUUUCUAGCUUCGUAGAGAAAAAAGAAUCGCAGUAUACUAAUUGAAGAAUUUUGAAGAGUAGAAAACCACAAAAGUCACAAACCUUUGUUGCUGUCUUCUUCAUUAUUGACUUGUAUACAUCUCUAUCAAUUUUCUUUGCUCUAUAUGGGGUCAUAAGCAACGAUGCAACAAAAUCUACAACCCCCUGUUUCAACCGAUCUGCACCCCUGAUAUGACUUUUACGUGGCUCUUUAUUCACUGUAACCUGUGACAUAGAACCUUCAUUCGCGGGUUGGUCAUGCUUCCAACUAGGAGGACCCGUCGAACAUGCCAUCGAACCUUCUUCAUCCUUCAUAUGCAAGGCACGGUUGAAAAAUUCAGGAUCAGCAGCAGCAGCUUGAGAUUGCCAUCUAUCUAUUGCAUUGUAAUCCUUGACACCAUCGCUACUACCGCCAGUAUCAACCCAUGCCCCGGUAAAAACACUGGUUUCCGCAGCCCCACUCUCUCUAGAACAUUCUCUGAACUUUGAAUGAGAUCCAAGUUCAUUCGAAUGGCUACGCUGUGAACAAUUGUCGACCUGAACCCUUGAACUGUCAGGGUCAAGACAGGAGGCAGGGAAAUCAUACCAGUCCCGAACUUUGCAGUUCCUAGAGUCUAUCUCUGACAUACAAUCUUGUCUUCCUAAGACGUUGCCUGGAAACUUUUUCUUAAAAUCAGAUUCGUCCAUUUUUGCAUACUGCUCUCGCCUGGCAAAUUUAUGGAACGAGGGAAUCUUAGGAAGCUGCAAUGAAGUACUUUGAUAGGCCUCAGAAAAUGCCUGCACAACCAAGAUCUUGACACCGCGGUUCGAUCUUGACAUCAAUGCUUAUAACAACUACGGGAAGCUUUACCUCAGCCCUCUUUUCGCGCUCUCUAUUGGGUCUGGUUUUGCGAGGUUCACUGCAACGCUAACUCAUGUAGCAUUGUUCAACGGCAGGUUAGUUAGUUUGUUUUGUUGUCUCUUGAGUGAAACAAAAAGAGAGAAUGUGAAUGAAUCAGUUUGGUGUGUUUUGUUUAUGCAGGGACAUAUGGAGGCAGACUUGGUCUGCAGUGAAGACGGUGAAGCUGGACAUACAUGGGAAACUGAUGCAAAGAUACAAACAAGUGCCAGAGUGGUGGUUUUAUGUGUUGCUGGUUGGAAGUGUAGCAUUGUCUCUCCUCAUGUCUUUUGUGUGGAAGGAGUCAGUGCAGCUUCCGUGGUGGGGAAUGCUCUUUGCUUUUGCAAUGGCUUUUAUUGUCACUCUCCCUAUUGGUGUCAUUCAAGCUACUACAAACCAGGUUUUUGUUUACUAGUUUUAUACUACUCCCUCUGCUCAGUUGUAAUUAAAAAGAAUAUUUCACAAAAAAAAGAAUUUUUAAAAUGUUUUUAUAAAGAAAUUGUAAACUUCAAAAAGAUUAAUUGAGUUUAUUAAAUUUUUUUUGGUUAAAAGUUGCUGAAAAUUGUAGAAAAUGAUGCAUUAUAAAUAAUGAUUUAAUGUAUAUUUUUGGUUUCAAUUUACACAUUGCAUGCUUAUAUAUUUUGUGUUAAAUUGCAGCAACCAGGGUAUGAUAUAAUAGGGCAGUUUAUUAUUGGUUACAUCCUGCCUGGAAAGCCUAUUGCAAAUCUGAUUUUCAAGAUUUAUGGAAGAAUCAGCACAGUCCAUGCUCUCUCCUUCUUGGCAGACCUUAAGCUUGGCCAUUACAUGAAGAUCCCACCGCGGUGCAUGUACACGGCUCAGCUUGUUGGCACUGUGGUUGCUGGUGUGGUGAACUUGGGAGUGGCCUGGUGGAUGCUUGAGAGCAUUCAAGACAUAUGCGACAUUGAAGGAGAUCACCCCAAUAGCCCCUGGACUUGCCCCAAGUACAGAGUCACCUUUGAUGCUUCGGUUAUUUGGGGAUUGAUAGGACCAAAACGGCUGUUUGGAGCAGGAGGCAUGUACCGUAACCUUGUCUGGCUCUUCCUCAUCGGAGCUGUCUUGCCUGUUCCUGUGUGGGCCAUGAGCAAGAUCUUCCCUGACAAGAAGUGGAUUCCUCUCAUCAACAUUCCUGUAAUCUCCUACGGGUUUGCAGGGAUGCCUCCAGCGACACCAACCAACAUUGCUAGCUGGCUGGUCACAGGAACCAUCUUCAACUACUUUGUGUUCAAUUACCACAAGAGAUGGUGGCAGAAGUAUAACUACGUGCUCUCUGCAGCGCUGGACGCAGGGACUGCAUUCAUGGGAGUGCUCUUGUUCUUUGCACUGCAGAAUGCUGGACAUGACCUCAAAUGGUGGGGCACUGAAGUAGACCACUGCCCUCUUGCCUCCUGCCCAACGGCUCCUGGAAUCAUAGCCAAAGGCUGUCCUGUUUUCUAAAUUGAGUAUUAGAUUCAAAACAUGUUAUGCAAACAUGUUCCUAUUAUUGCUUCUUUCUGUACAGCCUUUUCUACUGCUAGAUAGUGGCCAUCAGAAUGCAAUAAACUCUGCUUUUUGGAUUUAUAAUAUGAGAUUACAAAGUACUAGUUCCAUUGAUACUUGCUAGUAUUUUGCUUUUUGAGACGCAUAUGAUCAUUUAUAAAUUUGAAAGCCAAACAAUAAUAAUUUGAUCCUUGCUUGUAUCAUCUUUUGCUUUUUUGAAAGCCAAACAAUAAUAAUUUGUGAAAACUUGAAAGCCACAAUACAAAACCGAAAAAAGAGAUUUGCUGGUUUUACAAGUUUCAUUUUUUUUUGUUGUUCUAAAUUAAUCUAAGAAAGGAGAAGAGAUGAUAAAAAGUCUUGAAAUCAAAAGAUACACAUGACUGAAUAAUGCAUCUUUCAUUAUGUUGCUUAAAACCUUAUUGACAACUUUAAAAGACAACAAAAUUCGAGCUUAUUGAGAGGGAAAAACACUUUUGCCUGUGAUGAUAAUCUCUUCUUCUUCUUCUCAUAUCCUAUAGCCUCACACACCCAUUCUCCAUGAGUUAGAUACUAAGCAUGUCUGAGUUUCCACAUGCUAAUGGGAACUGGGCACUAUAUCAUCAUCUUCUCACCUCUGGAGGGACUUGUAGAGCACCACAGUUACAUACUUAGCCAGAAAGCGGUGAGUGGAACCAAGGGCGACCACAGAUGGACCGCUUUUGCCUUUCUGCAUGUAAAGAUGGUUGAGAAUGACGUGCUGAGGUCUCGGCAAAGGAGAUGGAAUGUCAGGGCUAGCUGGAGGCAAGUUCAGCAGUGUCAUCUGCAGGUGCGGCGGAACCAGAGGGGGUUCUUUGGAGUAGUCCUCAGCGCCUAGAAGCAAGCUGCUGUAACUAGCCUCUGGUGAUUGCGGCGGCUCAAAACCAGAUAUGCUUUCAAUGUCUUCUGGUACAUAGUCCUGCACACAACCAACACACAAACAAAACCAUAUCUCUCCUAUCAACAUAGAUGAUAUCUCCAUUGCAUUCCCUAAACACCUCAAAUAGCCUUUCUCUCUCACACCCUAAAGGUUUCGAAGUGAGG